UACGUAGGGUGCGAGCGUUUGUCCGGAAUUAUUGGGCGUAAAGGGCUCGUAGGCGGUUUGUCGCGUCGGGAGUGAAAACUCAGGGCUUAACCCUGAGCCUGCUUCCGAUACGGGCAGGACUAGAGGUAUGCAGGGGAGAACGGAAUCCUGGUGUAGCGGUGAAAUGCGCAGAUAUCAGGAGGAACAUCGGUGGCGAAGGCGGUUCUCUGGGCAUUACCUGACGUGAGGAGCGAAAGUGUGGGGAGCGAACAGG
RNAcentral lists this ribosomal RNA (253 nucleotides) under uncultured bacterium. RNAcentral's name for it is "partial 16S ribosomal RNA". It matches the Rfam family "Bacterial small subunit ribosomal RNA", at positions 524 to 776 of the family's 1533-position model. The record is from RNAcentral.